RNAcentral lists this transfer RNA (69 nucleotides) under Quasipaa boulengeri (spiny-bellied frog). RNAcentral's name for it is "tRNA-Asn". The record is from RNAcentral. Lineage: Eukaryota; Metazoa; Chordata; Amphibia; Anura; Dicroglossidae.
CGGAAUGAAGUUCACUGGAUUGAGUAUUUAGCGUUAAUUAAAAUUUACGGGAUAGUUCCGUCUUUCUAG